This 425-nucleotide ribosomal RNA is filed under the name uncultured bacterium. Its description in RNAcentral is "partial 16S ribosomal RNA". It matches the Rfam family "Bacterial small subunit ribosomal RNA", at positions 354 to 796 of the family's 1533-position model. The record is from RNAcentral.
GUGGGGAAUCUUAGACAAUGGGCGCAAGCCUGAUCUAGCCAUGCCGCGUGAGCGAUGAAGGCCUUAGGGUUGUAAAGCUCUUUCGUGGGGGAAGAUAAUGACUGUACCCCAAGAAGAAGCCCCGGCUAACUCCGUGCCAGCAGCCGCGGUAAUACGGAGGGGGCUAGCGUUGUUCGGAAUUACUGGGCGUAAAGCGCACGUAGGCGGACUGGAAAGUCAGGGGUGAAAUCCCGGGGCUCAACCCCGGAACUGCCUUGGAAACUCCCAGUCUUGAGUUCGAGAGAGGUGAGUGGAAUUCCGAGUGUAGAGGUGAAAUUCGUAGAUAUUCGGAGGAACACCAGUGGCGAAGGCGGCUCACUGGCUCGAUACUGACGCUGAGGUGCGAAAGCGUGGGGAGCAAACAGGAUUAGAAACCCUGGUAGUCC